RNAcentral lists this ribosomal RNA (435 nucleotides) under uncultured bacterium. RNAcentral describes it as "partial 16S ribosomal RNA". It matches the Rfam family "Bacterial small subunit ribosomal RNA", at positions 29 to 506 of the family's 1533-position model. The record is from RNAcentral.
AACGAACGCUGGCGGCAUGCCUAACACAUGCAAGUCGAACGAGAUCCUUCGGGGUCUAGUGGCGCACGGGUGCGUAACGCGUGGGAAUCUGCCCUUAGGUUCGGAAUAACAGUUAGAAAUGACUGCUAAUACCGGAUGAUGACGUUAAGUCCAAAGAUUUAUCGCCUGAGGAUGAGCCCGCGUAGGAUUAGCUAGUUGGUGUGGUAAAGGCGCACCAAGGCGACGAUCCUUAGCUGGUCUGAGAGGAUGAUCAGCCACACUGGGACUGAGACACGGCCCAGACUCCUACGGUAGGCAGCAGUGGGGAAUAUUGGACAAUGGGCGCAAGCCUGAUCCAGCAAUGCCGCGUGAGUGAUGAAGGCCUUAGGGUUGUAAAGCUCUUUUACCCGAGAUGAUAAUGACAGUAUCGGGAGAAUAAGCCCCGGCUAACUCCGU